This is a non-coding RNA of Mycena olivaceomarginata, 89 nucleotides long. Lineage: Eukaryota; Fungi; Basidiomycota; Agaricomycetes; Agaricales; Mycenaceae. The record is from the annotation of a GenBank genome assembly.
GACCUGGUGGUGCAUGGCUCAUACCCACUUUACUUGCCUUUGAUGUCAGGAUAUGGUGAGUGUCCCCGGUUCGAAUCCGGGCCAGGUCG